Molecule: ribosomal RNA, 253 nt
Filed under: uncultured bacterium
Lineage: Bacteria
Description: partial 16S ribosomal RNA
Rfam family: Bacterial small subunit ribosomal RNA
Source: RNAcentral
UACGGAGGAUGCAAGCGUUAUCCGGAAUGAUUGGGCGUAAAGCGUCCGCAGGUGGCUAUGUAAGUCUGCUGUUAAAGAGCAAAGCUUAACUUUGUAAAAGCAGUGGAAACUACAUAGCUAGAGUGCGUUCGGGGCAGAGGGAAUUCCUGGUGUAGCGGUGAAAUGCGUAGAGAUCGGGAAGAACACCGGUGGCGAAGGCGCUCUGCUAGGCCGCAACUGACACUGAGGGACGAAAGCUAGGGGAGCGAAUGGG